GAAAUUACGAUGAUCAGAAUAGUAAGUGAAUAAAUCUAUUUUAGAGAGUUUCCGGUUGGUGAGAGGAAAUAAUAGGUCUUCACUGAACAAACCUGUAAGUAGUUUUUCCCAGCUGUCUUUUUGUAGAAGUAGUGGUUCCAUUUUUCUACAUAGUUAAGAAAAAUCGGUUGAGCCCGUUAUAACUUGUAGUCUUUUUGACUAACAGAGUCUUUUGCUGUGAAGUAAAAGUAAAUCUGAGGUGGGACCACGUGAAAAUAAUUCUCGUCCUCUUG
This 272-nucleotide non-coding RNA is filed under the name Enterococcus rivorum. Its description in RNAcentral is "T-box sequence". It matches the Rfam family "T-box leader". Rfam says of the family: Uncharged tRNA acts as the effector for transcription antitermination of genes in the T-box leader family. T-boxes are found upstream of many aminoacyl-tRNA synthetase genes and some amino acid biosynthetic genes usually in Gram-positive bacteria. Lineage: Bacteria; Bacillati; Bacillota; Bacilli; Lactobacillales; Enterococcaceae. The record is from RNAcentral.